UACGGGGGGGGCAAGCGUUGUUCGGAAUUACUGGGCGUAAAGGGCUCGUAGGCGGCCAACUAAGUCAUACGUGAAAUCCCCCGGCUUAACCGGGGAACUGCGUCUGAUACUGGAUGGCUUGAGUUCGGGAGAGGGAUGCGGAAUUCCAGGUGUAGCGGUGAAAUGCGUAGAUAUCUGGAGGAACACCGGUGGCGAAGGCGGCAUCCUGGACCGACACUGACGCUGAGGAGCGAAAGCCAGGGGAGCAAACGGG
Molecule: ribosomal RNA, 253 nt
Filed under: uncultured bacterium
Lineage: Bacteria
Description: partial 16S ribosomal RNA
Rfam family: Bacterial small subunit ribosomal RNA
Source: RNAcentral